ACGGCUCAGUAACACGUGGCUAAUCUGCCCUUGGGACCGGAACACCCCCGGGAAACUGGGGCUAAUUCUCGAUAGGUGAAGAACUCUGGAAUGAGUCUUUGCCAAAAAGACGUUUGCGUUAUGCUCGUAGGCGUCGCCCAAGGAUGAGGCCGCGACCGAUCAGGUUGUUGGUGAGGUAAUGGCUCACCAAGCCUUUUACCGGUGCGGGCCGUGAGAGCGGGAGCCCGGAGAUGGGCACUGAGACAAGGGCCCAGGCCCUACGGGGCGCAGCAGUCGCGAAAACUUUGCAAUACACGAAAGUGUGACAGGGCUAUCCCGAGUGCCAUCCGCUGAGGAAGGCUUUUACCCAGUCUAGAACGCUGGGGGAAUAAGGAGAGGGCAAGUCUGGUGUCAGCCGCCGCGGUAAUACCAGCUCUCCGAGUGGUGUGGAUGUUUAUUGGGCCUAAAGCAUCCGUAGCUGGCUAAGUUAGUCCCUUGUUAAAUCCACCGAAUUAAUCGUUGGAUUGCGGGGGAUACUGCUUGGCUAGGGGACGAGAGAGGCAGACGGUAUUUCCGGGGUAGGGGUGAAAUCCUAUAAUCCCGGGAAGACCACCAGUGGCGAAGGCUGUCUGCUAGAACGCGCCCGACGGUGAGGGAUGAAAGCUGGGGGAGCGAACCGGAUUAGAUACCCGGGUAGUCCCAGCUGUAAACGAUGCAGGCUAGGUGUUUGGACGGCCACGUGCCGUUCUAGUGCCGCAGGGAAGCUGUUAAGCCUGCCGCCUGGGGAGUACGAUCGCAAGAUUGAAACUUAAAGGAAUUGGCGGGGGAGCAC
Molecule: ribosomal RNA, 811 nt
Filed under: uncultured archaeon
Lineage: Archaea
Description: bacterial SSU rRNA
Rfam family: Archaeal small subunit ribosomal RNA
Source: RNAcentral